Molecule: non-coding RNA, 196 nt
Filed under: Caedibacter sp.
Lineage: Bacteria; Pseudomonadati; Pseudomonadota; Gammaproteobacteria; Thiotrichales; Fastidiosibacteraceae
Source: RNAcentral
AUGAUUUUAGGGAUUAAGGGUGCUCGUCAGAGUUAAAAGGGAAUACAAUAACGCUUAUCUCAUUGAAGCGUAAAAUGUAGCUGCUCCCGCAACUGUAAGAAGCUUAUUUAAGUAAAAUACCACUGGCAUUAAAAGCUGGGAAGGUCGCUUAAGUCUAAGGCUCAGCCAGGAAACCUGCCUUUAAAUGUCAUCUCUU